This 454-nucleotide ribosomal RNA is filed under the name uncultured Rikenellaceae bacterium. Its description in RNAcentral is "partial 16S ribosomal RNA". It matches the Rfam family "Bacterial small subunit ribosomal RNA", at positions 341 to 792 of the family's 1533-position model. The record is from RNAcentral. Lineage: Bacteria; Pseudomonadati; Bacteroidota; Bacteroidia; Bacteroidales; Rikenellaceae.
ACGGAAGGCAGCAGUGAGGAAUAUUGGCCAAUGGACGCAAGUCUGAACCAGCCAUGCCGCGUGCAGGAAUAAGGCCCUAUGGGUCGUAAACUGCUUUUGUGGUGGAGCAAUAAGUCGUACGUGUACGGCGAUGAGAGUACAUCACGAAUAAGCAUCGGCUAACUCCGUGCCAGCAGCCGCGGUAAUACGGAGGAUGCAAGCGUUAUCCGGAUUUAUUGGGUUUAAAGGGUGCGUAGGCUGUGGUCCAAGUCAGGGGUGAAAGCCCGGAGCUCAACUCCGGAACUGCCUUUGAUACUGGAUUGCUGGAAUACGGAUGCCGUGGGAGGAAUGAGUAGUGUAGCGGUGAAAUGCAUAGAUAUUACUCAGAACACCGAUUGCGAAGGCAUCUCACGAAUCCGUCAUUGACGCUGAGGCACGAAAGCGUGGGGAUCAAACAGGAUUAGAUACCCUGGUA